The sequence is a regulatory RNA element, 121 nucleotides long. It matches the Rfam family "Ribosomal protein L20 leader". Rfam says of the family: This family is a putative r-protein leader autoregulatory structure found in B. subtilis and other low-GC Gram-positive bacteria. It is located in the 5' untranslated regions of mRNAs encoding initiation factor 3 followed by ribosomal proteins L35 and L20 (infC-rpmI-rplT). The record is from Rfam.
AGUGGAAAGAAGAAGUGCCUACUUCUCGCCUGAUUGAUAAUAUCGAUAGGCAAAUGUCACUAAGAUAGUUAUCUUAUUGUCAAUAUGUGGGUACUUAAUGUGCUCACUUUUUAUUUAAACU